Long non-coding RNA from Amblyraja radiata (thorny skate), 269 nucleotides. RefSeq lists it as uncharacterized. NCBI's taxonomy places the organism in Eukaryota, Metazoa, Chordata, Chondrichthyes, Rajiformes, Rajidae. The record is from RefSeq and is a predicted model, not a curated record. The transcript is spliced from 5 exons.
CCACCACUGGGGCAUUUACAACUUCAGGGACCGGCACCACUCUAGCCCUAGGAACAACUCUGACUCGUACAACUCCUGCAACUACAACACCUUCAUGUGUGGAAGGACCAGAUCCCAAUGACAAUUGUACUCAUUACACGUGUAAAAAUGGUGUACCAACGACCCAUGAAAUAGAAUGUGGCAAACAGGAGAACUGUUCUGAGUCUGAAAAGAAGUGGGAUGAUUAUAAAUGCUGCUAUUCAUGUCCUGUGCGGCCAGCAGAAUCAACG